This 376-nucleotide unclassified non-coding RNA is filed under the name uncultured Actinomycetes bacterium. RNAcentral's name for it is "uncultured actinobacterium contains 16S-23S intergenic spacer region". The record is from RNAcentral. Lineage: Bacteria; Bacillati; Actinomycetota; Actinomycetes.
UCCGGUUUGGCACCGGCAGUCUCCCCAGAGUUCCCGGCAUGACCCGCUGGCAACUGAGGACAAGGGUUGCGCUCGUUGCGCCACUUAAGGCAACACCUCACGGCACGAGCUGACGACAGCCAUGUACCACCUGUGCAGGCUCCGUAGAGCACCCGCUUUCACGGGUUUCACCCUGCAUGUCAAGCCCAGGUAAGGUUCUUCGCGUCGCAUCGAAUUAAGCCGCAUGCUCCGCCGCUUGUGCAGGCCCCCGUCAAUUCCUUUGAGUUUUAGUCUUGCGACCGUACUCCCCAGGCGGGGCACUUAAUGCGUUAGCUGCGGCACGGAGCCCGUUGAUAAGGCCCCACACCUAGUGCCCAACGUUUACGGCGUGGACUAC